This is a long non-coding RNA of Rhineura floridana, 2900 nucleotides long. RefSeq lists it as uncharacterized. The record is from RefSeq and is a predicted model, not a curated record. Lineage: Eukaryota; Metazoa; Chordata; Lepidosauria; Squamata; Rhineuridae. The transcript is spliced from 6 exons.
GGGGGGAUUUGAACCCAGGUCUUCCAGAUCCUAAUCUAACCCUGCCCCUGUGACUUUGAGUAAUCCUUAUGACAAUGCUGUAAGAUAUUUUGAGUAAUCCUUAUAACAAUACUGUAAGAUGAUCUGGCCUGGUUAUCCCCAUAUCACAGAUGGAAGAACUGAGAGCAAGGCUUGCCUGAGGGCCGUUGAUGGCGUUCCUCCAAAUGCAGCAGCGGGGAACAUUAAUUGAUUUAUAAAGGAUGUCCUGACAACGACCCUGUGAGGUAGGUUCGGCUGAGAGAGACGGCGACUGACCCAAGGUCACCAAGAGCACAGGUGUAGAACCUCAGGCCUGGUGACUGAAGGUGAUCCUCAGGACUCCCCAGCUCUGUGAGUAUUUUUGCCAGGCUGGCAUGUCUGAUCAUGCGUCUUGCUUGUCGAGAUGGAGGGCAGAGGGAGAGGGGUAGAAACUAAACUGCUUGGACAAGGGUAACAUUUACAUAUGUUGCUCUGCCCACCUUUGCCUCUAGCCCCGCCUACUACUGGCAUGCGGCCCUCAGAAGGGAAUGCGGCCCUUGGGCUGAAAAAGGCUCCCCCACUCCAGCAUUACAGGGAAUUUGGGUGUGUUCUAGUUACCACACUCUGUUCACGCAAGGGAUGUGGGACAGUCAAAUAUCCCCUCCACCAGAAGAGGGCAGGUGGAGCACCGCCCACCCUAAUCCCCCUAAAACCCCAAACCUAUAGCUCAGUCCCUUCUCUGUUCCUUACAUUCAUAUUCUACAGUACAUCACAUUUAAAGAGACACUGGACUUGUUUCUGUCCAUCUUCUGCUCUGGCCAAUCAUCUCUGGAUAGCACAGCCAACCACAGUCUUUGCUAUGGUCCCACCCCAUCUCCAGGCUUUAUAAUAAAUUGUGGUAUAGAGAGGGCAGGGGUCCCCUCUGCACCUCCAGUUUGAGUUUAUUUCCCAUAGAAUAAACUAGCCAAUCAGGAGUCCCUCAGAAAUACAUUGGAAAUCCCAUAGCAUUAAGGCAGGGCUAUGAAGAGCCUCUCCAGCCACUCAGAGGUGCGCAUUUCUAUCUGAGCCAAUCGGAUGCAGGCAUGUGCAAACUGUGGAUAUUCCCUGAGGCUGAGUUACUUCCCUGUCCUUUAAGGAAGCAGCAAGCAUAAACUUUUCAUGUUUGUGACCAACCAGCCUCCCGGUCUUUGAAAUCAGCAAUUUAUCUCUCAAUUUGCUAACUCUGAAGCUCCCAUGAUCCCCCACCAGAGAGCACAGCCAAUGGUCAGGGGUGAUGGAAAAGGAGAGUUCAGCGACAUCCCGAGGGCAAUCAGAAUAUCAAAAUAGCCUUGCAGCAGCUGGAUCAGAGGGGGAUUGGCUUGAGCUCUCUCCACUGCUGCUGUUGCUGCCGCCAGAUGAUGCGAUUUGCUGCCCCCGAAGCUCGUCACGCUCUGCCUGCAGGAUCUGGGCCAUCAGCAGGCAUGCGGCCUCUUGAGCCCGUGCAUGCAUUUCUGGACCUAUCGCGUGGCUGGAGAAUUGCUCUGCGAAAUUCAGAGAAGUGCCCAUUUCAAAGGAUGGCUGCUUUUCGGUUCAUGAAUCGUUUUUGGACAGUGUGGAUGAGUGUCGCCGAGAGGAGUUGGUUGAGGCCUCGGAGCUUCUCGAUGGAUCUGAGGGACAAGCAGACAGCCGUUGUCAUUUUGCCAGCACCGCGACUCCCUCUAAUACCGAACUCGGGUGGUCCCAUCAGCCCUGACCAUUGGCCAUGCUGGUUGCUGGGGGAAGAUGGGAGUUGGGAGUCCAACAACCACGCUGGAUGUCCCUGUGUGAAGACGUUUAAAAGAGAAGAGCCAAUUGCGUAAGCAUCAGAAGAGGAACAUCCGGAACGAAAAUACAACGAUCCCAUGAAAACGUUAAAAGAUCAACAUCCAGAGUUAAAAUGUGCAAUUCCUGGAUACCAAAAUUUACCUGAAAUCCCCACAACGCUUUCUCGCUGACUGGGCUGGUGGAUCCGUGCAGAGGUGUCUCCAUCUUAGAGAGGGCACUGUGAAGCUGUUUGACCUGGAUGGAGGCAUGAUGAGUGUUUGCCUUUAACAUUGUGGCAUCAUUGACUCACACAAAAGAGACAGAGGGGGGUGGGAAUGAAUUCACCGAAUGGGAUUCCUUGCAAGAAGGUGUGGUGUCGUGCCUGCUGACAAAGGGAAGCCGCCAAAUGCACAGAGGAGAGGCCUAAGCCAUGAUAGGACUGUACUGCCUCAGAGAAUGCAAAUCUGAAUUAGCCCUAAGCCUCAUUUCAUGGAAGAAAACGUAUGAGUCUAGGCAUUUGGCAAAUCUUUGUCAUACUUCUCUGUGCUGAAUCUGACUAAAUUCUACUCAGAGUAAACCCAAUGAAAUGAAUAGGCCUAAUUUAAUCAUGGCCGUUGAUUUCAAUUGGGUGUACUUGGAUGGAGGAUGAUUAACGUUGAAGACAACUAUCUGUUGUCCAAAUCUGUUAGCAAAUAUUGGUAUUGCCUCUCUAUCGGAGGCCCUCCUUCGAGUGUCCCCUCUGAAAGAGGUGCAGCGAUUGGCAACACGAGAACAGGGCCUUCUCAGUGGUGGCCCUCCAUUUGCGGAACACUGUCCCCAGGAAGGUACACCUGGCACCGUCAUUUUCCAUCUUUAGGCACCAGGCAAAAACAUUUCUCCUAGGCAUUUGGCUCUUAAUUGGAAGGCUUUGGGGGGGCUUCUGUUGUGUUGCUUUCCUAAGAAGGGCUGUUGCACCGCCUUAAGUACUGUUUCUGUUAUUAACUUUAUAUAUAUAUUUUAAUCUUUCACUUUGUUUUUUUUUAUUAUUGUUUUUAUUAACUGUAAGUUGCUUUGAGUGCGCCUAUGUGUGUGGAAAAGCGACACACAUUGAAUAAAUAAAUAAAUCAUUAUGAUAUUGGAAA